Astyanax mexicanus (Mexican tetra) is the source of this 616-nucleotide long non-coding RNA. RefSeq lists it as uncharacterized. The transcript is spliced from 2 exons. The record is from RefSeq and is a predicted model, not a curated record. Lineage: Eukaryota; Metazoa; Chordata; Actinopteri; Characiformes; Acestrorhamphidae.
UUGGAGGAUGUUUCCCCUGAGAUAUUCAACUCUUGUGCUGUGACACGUGCUAUGAGUAAAACAGCAUUAACCUCUGUUCCUUUGUCUCCAACAGAAAUUUCUGAGGGUAAAACAGUCGAAAUUCCCUCUUCCCUCUCUGUUUCCCGUGAUGAGUUGAUAAGGGGCAGGUGGCUGAUCCUUCUCUCAGCGCCAGGGUUGCUGGUGGAAACUGGUGGAUGAGGAGGUUGUGUGGAGUGGACUUGAAACAUGGAGAUGGCAGGACUGGAUCAAAGCUGUUGGAGUUCUGUUUUUCUUUUGUUUUUGUUUGUUUUUGUUUUUUUUUAAGGGGGGGGUGUGUGACGUGCAUGUCCCCUGAUUGGGUGUUAGGGGGUGGGGCUACAGACCUAAUCAAUAUAUGCACCUGUGUAGGUGUGCAGAGGGAGGCCUUUCUUUUGUUCUGUUUGCUGCAGGCAGCUCAGAUUUCUGGGCCUGCUUGGUUUGGUUCUGUUUGACAUUAUGCUUUAGUUGUUUUUUGUUGAUACGUAGGUUUUCUUUGGGCCGCCUUUUUGUUUAUAAAUGUCUGGACAUGAACCUUUUUCUAAUUUCUUCAUUAAAUUUAUAUUUUUUGCCAUUUAAA